This is a non-coding RNA of Elaeis guineensis (African oil palm), 1792 nucleotides long. The record is from RefSeq and is a predicted model, not a curated record. Lineage: Eukaryota; Viridiplantae; Streptophyta; Magnoliopsida; Arecales; Arecaceae.
CCCUUUAAAUAGAGAUAGAGGAGGGAGAAGUUGGACUCCUUCCCGGCCUCCUAAUCCGACUCCGAUCAGGAGUCUACAGAAGAAAAGACUCCUAAUGGGAGUCUUCUCUCCGUUUCUCCCUUUUUUUUUUUUUCUUUUUAAUUUACUUCUAACGAGAGUCUUCUCUCCAUUUCCCCUUUUUUUUAUUUUUUGUUUUUUCAGUGAGUUGACAUUCGUGCGGGGUAUUUCAAGAAGUGUAUGGGGUAACUUAAAAGCUAUCUCUCAAGCUUCGUAUGUAACUGAAAAGUUUGACUGAAACCAUAUAUGCUUUAACACAUAUAAUAUGCUGGAGCAUAUUGGAGACAUCUCUUUUAUAAAAAAGGCGAUCCUGUUUUGUUUCGGUUUGUUAGCUGUUGAAAAGAGACAGGUCAGGUAUUAUAUUAACAUGUUUGCAGAGGCAAUCGUAUCAGGAGAGGGGCUAGGGUUUUAUAUGCUGAAUGAACCUUCCAUGAAACUGCUGCAAUUGCUGUGGCUCUAUUAAUAACUUGAGAGAAGAUGGUCUAGAAUCAAAAAAAAAAAAAUUCGUGCUUGAAAGGAAGGCUGUGGGAAGGACGGCCUGCUCCCGUUUUCUCACACCUGUGAUUAAUGAUGGAAGAGUGUCACCAGCCAAAUCUUCUCUGUAUUCAAUGGCAAUUGAGAAUGCUUAUUAAAAAGGAAGACCAAAAGUCCAAAAUGAAUGUGAACUCAUUUAUAUGAUUUGCUGAUGGACAUACAUUUCUCUGCUUGCCAUCUGGAAAAUGUAAAUGAUUUUGACAUGAGCUGCACUGGAGGACAGGCUAUGCUAGACUGCUGGUUGAUACAGUGGACCAAAAUCAAAGGGUAACCCACUGAUCAGUUGCUCAAGUCAUCAGGAAAAUUUUUAGCUUCUUUGGCUUCAUGCAAGCCUGCUUUGCUAAAGGUAAGCAUCUAUUUUUGGCUAGGCUAUGAUGUAACUCUUUUUCUGUUUAUACAUCAACACAAUCUUCAGUUCCAGAUUGGAGGUGGGUGGUAUUAUACUGGGAAUAAUAAGAGAUGUUGAUUUAGAUUUCUACUUUCUCAUGAACUAUGAACCUUGUGAAUAAAAUGGAAAUUACCUGAUUAUGAGUUUGGAACUUUGAUAGUGGUCCACCUCCCUGGGAUUUGGAAACUGUUUGAGUUCAUGAGCAUUUAGCCCACACAAGUUUCCAGAGACUAGGGUGGUGUGAGGAAGAUGGCGUCUAUCAUUUCAAUAGAUGAAGGUCAGACCUGAUAAGAGAAUCGUGGACUGUGAUGUGCAGUUAUUCAUUUGAUAUUUAGGGUGCUUUAUUGUUAUUUUACCCUUGCAGUAAAUAAAGAAUUAUAAACCAUGCUUGAGAUGAAGGUUGCAGACUGGAGAUUAAGAUUCUGUAUAUAGUCUUAUUCUCAUUGUCCAAAGAUUAAAUAACUAACUCUGUGCUCCUUUGCUCCUAUCUGCUGUGCAUUUUCUAAGCUUUGGCCAAGAUCCAAUUCUACUCACCAGAAGUAAACUGCUGUGUAAGCUGAAAAAAUUCUCAUCAUUUGAGAAGCUUGAGUGAGGAGCAUUACUCUGGAUCCCAACAAAAAGAAUCCAUGGGAUGUCAAAAGAGGAGCAUUAAAUUAGAUGGAAAAUAGUACAAAGGCAAAGCUCAUUGCCUAUACAUUACAAAUAUGUGUAUAAUAAGCACCAAUAUGGAUAAUUAUCUGGUGGACAGAGAAUGUGCUAACUGUGAUUAUCUACAUUGCUUCCAUCAUUAUGCUGGUCAAAUGAUUGUCGAGG